AUUGAACGCUGGCGGCAGGCCUAACACAUGCAAGUCGGACGAGUGGCGGACGGGUGAGUAAUGUAUGGGAAACUGCCUGAUGGAGGGGGAUAACUACUGGAAACGGUAGCUAAUACCGCAUACCAUCGGAUGAGCCCAGAUGGGAUUAGCUGGUAGGUGGGGUAAUGGCUCACCUAGGCGACGAUCCCUAGCUGGUCUGAGAGGAUGACCAGCCACACUGGAACUGAGACACUGUCCAGACUCCUACGGGAGGCAGCAGUGGGGAAUAUUGCACAAUGGGCGCAAGCCUGAUGCAGCCAUGCCGCGUGUAUGAAGAAGGCCUUCGGGUUGUAAAGUACUUUCAGCGGGGAGGCGUUACUCGCAGAAGAAGCACCGGCUAACUCCGUGCCAGCAGCCGCGGUAAUAC
RNAcentral lists this ribosomal RNA (406 nucleotides) under uncultured bacterium. RNAcentral's name for it is "partial 16S ribosomal RNA". It matches the Rfam family "Bacterial small subunit ribosomal RNA", at positions 30 to 526 of the family's 1533-position model. The record is from RNAcentral.